This 466-nucleotide ribosomal RNA is filed under the name uncultured bacterium. Its description in RNAcentral is "partial 16S ribosomal RNA". It matches the Rfam family "Bacterial small subunit ribosomal RNA", at positions 28 to 507 of the family's 1533-position model. The record is from RNAcentral.
GACGAACGCUGGCGGCGCGCCUAACACAUGCAAGUCGAACGAGCGAGAGAGAGCUUGCUUUCUUGAGCGAGUGGCGAACGGGUGAGUAACGCGUGAGGAACCUGCCUCAAAGAGGGGGGCAACAGUUGGAAACGACUGCUAAUACCGCAUAAGCCCACGGUGCCGCAUGGCACAGAGGGAAAAGGAGCAAUCCGCUUUGAGAUGGCCUCGCGUCCGAUUAGCUAGUUGGUGAGGUAACGGCCCACCAAGGCGACGAUCGGUAGCCGGACUGAGAGGUUGAACGGCCACCUUGGGGCUGAGACCCGGCCCCGACUCCUACGGGAGGCAGCAAUGGGGGAUAUUGCACAAUGGGGGAAACCCUGAUGCAGCGACGCCGCGUGGAGGAAGAAGGUCUUCGGAUUGUAAACUCCUGUUGUUGGGGAAGAUAAUGACGGUACCCAACAAGGAAGUGACGGCUAACUACGUG